Molecule: ribosomal RNA, 108 nt
Filed under: uncultured eukaryote
Lineage: Eukaryota
Description: partial small subunit ribosomal RNA
Source: RNAcentral
UCGCUCCUACCGAUUGAAUGGUCCGGUGAAGCCUCGGGAUUGUGGCCAGUGCCUUUAUUGUUGUUGGCUGCGAGAACUUGUCCAAACCUUAUCAUUUAGAGGAAGGUG